RNAcentral lists this ribosomal RNA (434 nucleotides) under uncultured eukaryote. Its description in RNAcentral is "bacterial SSU rRNA". It matches the Rfam family "Eukaryotic small subunit ribosomal RNA", at positions 592 to 1018 of the family's 1831-position model. The record is from RNAcentral.
CAAUAGCGUAUAUUAAAGUUGUUGCAGUUAAAAGCUCGUAGUUGGAUUUCUGAUCCAAGUAGCCGGUCGGCGCAUGUAUUUGCGUUUGUACUCGUGCGGUUUGGUUCAUUUUUUGUGAGGAGGCUUUUCUGGCAUUAAGUUGUUGGGAUCGUGGACUUGCAUCGUUUACUGUGAAAAAUUAGAGUGUUUAAAGCAGGCGUUGGCCAUUUUUGAAUACAUUAGCAUGGAAUAAUAAGAUACGACUUUGGUGGUCUAUUUUGUUGGUUUGCACACCAGAGUAAUGAUUAAUAGGGACAGUUGGGGGUAUUCAUACUUUAGCGUCAGAGGUGAAAUUCUUGGAUCGCUGAAAGAUGAUCUUAGGCGAAAGCAUUUACCAUGGAUGUUUUCAUUAAUCAAGAACGAAAGUUAGGGGAUCGAAGACGAUCAGAUACCGU